RNAcentral lists this ribosomal RNA (256 nucleotides) under uncultured prokaryote. RNAcentral's name for it is "partial 16S ribosomal RNA". It matches the Rfam family "Bacterial small subunit ribosomal RNA", at positions 524 to 780 of the family's 1533-position model. The record is from RNAcentral.
UACGGAGGAUCCGAGCGUUAUCCGGAUUUAUUGGGUUUAAAGGGUGCGUAGGCGGCUUAGUAAGUCAGCGGUGAAAUUUUGCAGCUUAACUGUAACAGUGCCGUUGAUACUGCCAGGCUAGGAUUUGGUUGCUGUGGGUGGAAUGUGUGGUGUAGCGGCGAAAUGCUUAGAUAUCACACAGAAUAUCGAUUGCGAAGGCAGCUCACAAAGCCAAGAUUGACGCUGAGGCACGAAAGUUGGGGAUCAAACAGGAUUA